GUGCACGUCGAUUCGGAUCCAUCCAACACCUGUGCAUCUUGACUCUGAGCUUGUAAUGAGCGAGGGGUAUUUUACUAUACACUUUGUAUGUAUGUGAUAGAAAACUGUGCAUUGCACAAAAUAAAAUAACAACUUUUAACAACGGAUCUCUUGGCUCUCGCAUCGAUGAAGAACGCAGCGAAAUGCGAUAAGUAAUGUGAAUUGCAGAAUUCAGUGAAUCAUCGAAUCUUUGAACGCACCUUGCACCCUUUGGUAUUCCGAAGGGUAUGCCCGUUUGAGUGUCAUUGUAAUCUCACACCAACUUUUAUUAGUUGGAGGUGGACUUGGAGGUUGCUGUUGAAAAACAGCUCUUCUUAAAUGUAUUAGUGCGGCUCUGGUUGGACUUAAGCCCGAUGUAAUAAAAAUUUCAUCGUGGUGUCUAAUCAAAUCGAGUCUGUGCUUCUAACCGUCUUCGGACAAACUACUUGACAACUUGGCCUCAAAUCGGGUAGGACUACCCGCUGAACUUAAGCAUAUCAAUAAGCGGAGGAAAAGAAACUAACAAGGAUUCCCCUAGUAACGGCGAGUGAAGAGGGAAGAGCUCAAAUUUUAAAUCUGGCGCCUUUGGUGUCCGAGUUGUAAUCUAUAGAAGUGUUUUCCGCGGUGGACCGUGUACAAGUUUCCUGGAACGGUACGUCAUAGAGGGUGAGAAUCCCGUAUGUGGCACGGACUCCCAUUGCUAUGUGAUACACUCUCAACGAGUCGAGUUGUUUGGGAAUGCAGCUCAAAGUGGGUGGUAAAUUCCAUCUAAAGCUAAAUAUUGGCGAGAGACCGAUAGCGAACAAGUACCGYGAGGGAAAGAUGAAAAGCACUUUGGAAAGAGAGUGAAACAGUACGUGAAAUUGUUAAAAGGGAAACGCUUGAAGUCAGUCGCGCCUCUUGGGAUUCAGCCUUAYUUCUGUUUGGUGUACUUCCUGUUGGGCGGGUCA
This 968-nucleotide ribosomal RNA is filed under the name uncultured Sebacina. RNAcentral's name for it is "eukaryotic LSU rRNA". The stretch from base 474 to 968 matches the Rfam family "Eukaryotic large subunit ribosomal RNA", at positions 1 to 498 of the family's 3401-position model. Lineage: Eukaryota; Fungi; Basidiomycota; Agaricomycetes; Sebacinales; Sebacinaceae. The record is from RNAcentral.